RNAcentral lists this ribosomal RNA (486 nucleotides) under uncultured bacterium. RNAcentral describes it as "partial 16S ribosomal RNA". It matches the Rfam family "Bacterial small subunit ribosomal RNA", at positions 28 to 507 of the family's 1533-position model. The record is from RNAcentral.
GACGAACGCUGGCGGCGUGCUUAACACAUGCAAGUCGAACGCUGAAGACCUGGCUUUUGUUGGGUUGGAUGAGUGGCGAACGGGUGAGUAACACGUGAGUAACCUGCCCUCUUCUUUGGGAUAACGCCCGGAAACGGGUGCUAAUACUGGAUAUUCACUGAUCUUCGCAUGGGGGUUGGUGGAAAGGUUUGUUCUGGUGGGGGAUGGGCUCGCGGCCUAUCAGCUUGUUGGUGGGGUGAUGGCCUACCAAGGCUUUGACGGGUAGCCGGCCUGAGAGGGUGACCGGUCACAUUGGGACUGAGAUACGGCCCAGACUCCUACGGGAGGCAGCAGUGGGGAAUAUUGCACAAUGGGCGAAAGCCUGAUGCAGCGACGCCGCGUGAGGGAUGGAGGCCUGCGGGUUGUAAACCUCUUUCGCUCAUGGUCAAGCCGCAACUGUGGGUUGUGGUGAGGGUAGUGGGUAAAGAAGCGCCGGCUAACUACGUG